Molecule: long non-coding RNA, 650 nt
Filed under: Ananas comosus (pineapple)
Lineage: Eukaryota; Viridiplantae; Streptophyta; Magnoliopsida; Poales; Bromeliaceae
Description: long non-coding RNA (ACOM_LNC037389)
Source: RNAcentral
UGCGUGUGUGUUGUAUGCGUGCGUGUGUGUGUGGUGUGGUGUGCGGCCGAAUGAAGAAGAAGAAGCAAAGCUUCUUUAUACAUUAACACCUCCAACACUAUUCACUCCAAGCAGCUUGAAAUCUAAUAACUUUCGUCGGAGCUCCCUGAAUGUCCGUUUGAGCUCAAACUUGACAGUCAUGUUCGGUUUUACGUACUGAGUAAGAAUAUAUUUUAAGUUUUCAGUUUCGACCCCAUUUGGUCACCGAAAACUGUGCCGAACUGUAAUCUUAAUCAGAUAACUGUCGGAUUUUAUUUCUCACUCUACGGGUGUCAGAAAAAUAUGAAACUUCAAAUCUAGCCUCAUAAAAAUAUUUCUAACUUAUCCUCCAAUUUUCAUAAUUUUCUGAGACUGUAUUUUCUGCUAAUUUAUCUGCCUCGUUUCCAACAGAAAAUUCUAAAUCUUCUGUUUUCGCUCCGAUUUCAACACAAGUCAUUUUUGACUUAUGUUUUACUCCUCUAAAUCCAAUAAAAAUAGUAUCUCACACUAUUUUUAUUUAUUUUUUAUUUUUAUAUUUAAAAUUCGGUAUGUUACAUUACACCGCAACUUCACCGGAACCAUUUAAAUGUACACCGUAAUUUCAUAGCUUUAGAAGUCCGGUACCUUACAAC